This is a non-coding RNA of Triticum urartu, 115 nucleotides long. The record is from Rfam. NCBI's taxonomy places the organism in Eukaryota, Viridiplantae, Streptophyta, Magnoliopsida, Poales, Poaceae.
UUCGUACUCCCUCCGUCCCAAAUUACUUGUCGCUCAAAUGGACGUAUCUAAUACAAUUUCGGUUCUAGAUGCAUCCAUUUGAGCGACAAGUAAUUUGGGACGGAGGGAGUACUAU